Molecule: transfer RNA, 74 nt
Filed under: Terriglobia bacterium
Lineage: Bacteria; Pseudomonadati; Acidobacteriota; Terriglobia
Description: tRNA-Val
Rfam family: tRNA
About the family: Transfer RNA (tRNA) molecules are approximately 80 nucleotides in length.
Source: RNAcentral
GGGCGGUUAGCUCAGCGCAGAGCGCCGGCAUUACCCGCCGGAGGCCGGGGGUUCAAAUCCUUCACCGCCCACCA